UCANACCACUAGAGGAGCUGUUNGGCCAUCGACAACCCCCGUUAAACCUCACCACUCUUAGCCCCAGCAGCCUAUAUACCGCCGUCGCCAGCUUACCCCGUGAGGGAAUUAUAGUAAGCUAAAUGGUUAUUGCCACAAACGUCAGGUCGAGGUGUAGCCAAUAGAGUGGGAAGAAAUGGGCUACAUUUUCUGACCC
This 196-nucleotide ribosomal RNA is filed under the name Myrophis platyrhynchus (broadnose worm eel). RNAcentral's name for it is "partial 12S ribosomal RNA". Lineage: Eukaryota; Metazoa; Chordata; Actinopteri; Anguilliformes; Ophichthidae. The record is from RNAcentral.